GGGAAUAUUGCACAAUGGGCGCAAGCCUGAUGCAGCAACGCCGCGUGAGGGACGACGGCCUUCGGGUUGUAAACCUCUUUAGCAGGGAAGAAGCGAAAGUGACGGUACCUGCAGAAAAGCACCGGCUAACUACGUGCCAGCAGCCGCGGUAAUACGUAGGGUGCAAGCGUUAUCCGGAAUUAUUGGGCGUAAAGAGCUCGUAGGCGGUUUGUCGCGUCUGCUGUGAAAACCCGAGGCUCAACCUCGGGCCUGCAGUGGGUACGGGCAGACUAGAGUGCGGUAGGGGAGAUUGGAAUUCCUGGUGUAGCGGUGGAAUGCGCAGAUAUCAGGAGGAACACCGAUGGCGAAGGCAGAUCUCUGGGCCGUAACUGACGCUGAGGAGCGAAAGCAUGGGGANCGAACAG
This 404-nucleotide ribosomal RNA is filed under the name uncultured bacterium. RNAcentral's name for it is "bacterial SSU rRNA". It matches the Rfam family "Bacterial small subunit ribosomal RNA", at positions 357 to 775 of the family's 1533-position model. The record is from RNAcentral.